GACUCGCUCUCUUCUUAGUAUUUUUUUUGAGAUUACAUAUGAAUCAUAUGAUGAUUUGAAACGGUGUCGUUGUGCUCGUAAGUACCCAUUUGCAGUGAUCACUGACCACCAUUCAACUUUGACAUUUGCAGACCUAAUUUCUAGCUCCGGGCAAGAGGGAAAAAGGGUACAUUAAGAUAUGACGAUAAAACCAACAGUUGCUUUUAGGGCAAUUUUUGUAGGAGGUGUAGCCGCAUUUGCGAAAAUUGCUGGUGCAGUGAAGGCCGCAGGUGGUGCAAAGGUGGGUGCAGCAGCGGCGGCAAUGACAGCCGCGGCAAGUGCAGCCAUGUCAGGAUCAAAUAACGAACCAAAGGAGGCUUCGAAGCAGUCUUUGAAGUGACUCUUUUACAGAUUUAGGAAUGAAUUAUGAAAAUGUACCAGAGCUGCAGUUUGCUGUGAGCUUGCUGGUAAUUCUUUAGCUUUGCUGAAUUGUGAACUUGAUUGUAGUAGUAUGUAUAAAACGGUUCCAAAUAAAAGCCGUAGUUCAGUAGAUAUCUGAAGCUGAAAGUGUCCUAAGUGACCUCGGGAUAAAAAUGGUUGGGCGUCGUAGCCAACUGUGGUAAAAUAGUUGUGUCAAUGUUGUAAUGCCUGAUGAUUUUGAGCGCCAAGGAAAAGAUGUUAUAGUUGAUUUUGUCGAGGCUUUUGUAUCACUUUGGCACUUAUAAACAACUGCAAUACAGAAUUUUAGUUGAUUA
Cornus florida is the source of this 734-nucleotide long non-coding RNA. RefSeq lists it as uncharacterized. The transcript is spliced from 2 exons. Lineage: Eukaryota; Viridiplantae; Streptophyta; Magnoliopsida; Cornales; Cornaceae. The record is from RefSeq and is a predicted model, not a curated record.